GACCAGCGGAGGGAUCAUUACCGAGUUUACAACUCCCAAACCCAAUGUGAACCAUACCAAACUGUUGCCUCGGCGGGGUCACGCCCCGGGUGCGUCGCAGCCCCGGAACCAGGCGCCCGCCGGAGGGACCAACCAAACUCUUUACUGUAGUCCCCUCGCGGACGUUAUUUCUUACAGCUCUGAGCAAAAAAUUCAAAAUGAAUCAAAACUUUCAACAACGGAUCUCUUGGUUCUGGCAUCGAUGAAGAACGCAGCGAAAUGCGAUAAGUAAUGUGAAUUGCAGAAUUCAGUGAAUCAUCGAAUCUUUGAACGCACAUUGCGCCCGCCAGUAUUCUGGCGGGCAUGCCUGUCCGAGCGUCAUUUCAACCCUCGAACCCCUCCGGGGGGUCGGCGUUGGGGAUCGGGAACCCCUCAGACGGGAUCCCGGCCCCGAAAUACAGUGGCGGUCUCGCCGCAGCCUCUCCUGCGCAGUAGUUUGCACAACUCGCACCGGGAGCGCGGCGCGUCCACGUCCGUAAAACACCCAACUUUCUGAAAUGUUGACCUCGGAUCAGGUAGGAAUACCCGCUGAACUUAAGCAUAUCAAUAAGCGGAGGAA
Molecule: ribosomal RNA, 598 nt
Filed under: Trichoderma erinaceum
Lineage: Eukaryota; Fungi; Ascomycota; Sordariomycetes; Hypocreales; Hypocreaceae
Description: eukaryotic LSU rRNA
Rfam family: 5.8S ribosomal RNA (bases 207-360)
Source: RNAcentral